Molecule: ribosomal RNA, 468 nt
Filed under: uncultured bacterium
Lineage: Bacteria
Description: partial 16S ribosomal RNA
Rfam family: Bacterial small subunit ribosomal RNA
Source: RNAcentral
GACGAACGCUGGCGGCGUGCUUAACACAUGCAAGUCGAACGGAAAGGCCCUGCUUUUGUGGGGUGCUCGAGUGGCGAACGGGUGAGUAACACGUGAGUAACCUGCCCUUGACUUUGGGAUAACUUCAGGAAACUGGGGCUAAUACCGGUUAGGAGCUCCUGCUGCAUGGUGGGGGUUGGAAAGUUUCGGCGGUUGGGGAUGGACUCGCGGCUUAUCAGCUUGUUGGUGGGGUAGUGGCUUACCAAGGCUUUGACGGGUAGCCGGCCUGAGAGGGUGACCUGCCACAUUGGGACUGAGAUACGGCCCAGACUCCUACGGGAGGCAGCAGUGGGGAAUAUUGCACAAUGGGCGGAAGCCUGAUGCAGCAACGCCGCGUGCGGGAUGACGGCCUUCGGGUUGUAAACCGCUUUCGCCUGUGACGAAGCGUGAGUGACGGUAAUGGGUAAAGAAGCACCGGCUAACUACGUG